CGCCUGGUAGUCCACGGUCGGCAGGAUCAGCGGGUUCUCGCCCUGCAGCGCGCCCAGUUCCGCCUGCACCUGGCGC
RNAcentral lists this transfer RNA (76 nucleotides) under Xanthomonas sp. SS. Its description in RNAcentral is "tRNA-Glu". Lineage: Bacteria; Pseudomonadati; Pseudomonadota; Gammaproteobacteria; Lysobacterales; Lysobacteraceae. The record is from RNAcentral.